AAAUCCCUGCUGUGUGCGUGAAUAGCCGUUAAGUUUUUGCCAACACAAAAAUUAAGGGAGCCUGGACGUCACAUGUGAACUGCAUGCCCUUAAUUGGGACACAUGAAACAUGUGGGAGGGCACCCACCUGCAAUGCAGGUUUAAACUACGGCUUCACGGCUCGGUGGGGCUUUU
This 174-nucleotide non-coding RNA is filed under the name Syntrophomonas sp. RNAcentral's name for it is "6S RNA". It matches the Rfam family "6S / SsrS RNA". Rfam says of the family: E. coli 6S RNA was the first non coding RNA to be sequenced, but its function was unknown until recently. It consists of 184 nucleotides that fold into an extended hairpin structure with a large single-stranded internal bulge. Lineage: Bacteria; Bacillati; Bacillota; Clostridia; Eubacteriales; Syntrophomonadaceae. The record is from RNAcentral.